This 204-nucleotide long non-coding RNA is filed under the name Elaeis guineensis (African oil palm). RNAcentral's name for it is "long non-coding RNA (EGUI_LNC018700)". The record is from RNAcentral. Lineage: Eukaryota; Viridiplantae; Streptophyta; Magnoliopsida; Arecales; Arecaceae.
UUUAAUCCAUUUAAUUUAAUUUGAUUUAUUUAAUAAAUAGAUUAAAUGAAUCGGAUCAGAUUAUCUGUUUAAUAAACAGAUCAGAUUUAUAUUUAAAUUUUUGAUCUGUUUAAUAAAUAGAUCGAAUUUAGAUUGAUAAUUUUUUGAUUCGAUCUAUAUUAAUCCGAUCUAUUAAUAAUUUGAUCCAACCCAUUUGCCGUCUCU